ACUUGUCUGCAGUGCAUGCCGGGCUUAAUAUUUCCUUGAACCAAUGCUCAUUGAGCAUGGGCUUGGUACAUUUCCUGAUAGGUGUGAGCAUCUCGCGUUAGAUGAACCCGAAGUCAGGCUGCCCUCGCCCACCUGAACCCCCGGUUCAGGAUGACGGUCCGGUGGCACUUGCAGACACCUU
Molecule: non-coding RNA, 181 nt
Filed under: Hydrogenophaga sp. PAMC20947
Lineage: Bacteria; Pseudomonadati; Pseudomonadota; Betaproteobacteria; Burkholderiales; Comamonadaceae
Description: 6S RNA
Rfam family: 6S / SsrS RNA
About the family: E. coli 6S RNA was the first non coding RNA to be sequenced, but its function was unknown until recently. It consists of 184 nucleotides that fold into an extended hairpin structure with a large single-stranded internal bulge.
Source: RNAcentral